AGAUUGUGAGAAACGCAUUCACCCAUUCAAACCCAAACAAUGGACUCGGAGUCAAGAAGAACAGCAGAAGCGAGACUUUCUAUGACGGUCUUGCAAGAUGGGGUGUCUGGUAGGCAGGCACACCCAGUGCCUGUUACAACAGAUUGUGGCCAUAAUAGGAUGGUACAAAAUAUGUUUCUAGAGAAACUGGCAUUAACUAAACCAUACUCUGCAAAACCCAAGCAAAAGAUAAGGACAACAACAUAUGGACUUUUACAACAAAUGAGUUCACAUGACUUUUUUUUACAUUCUUUAGCUAUGAAUAGAUGAAAACAGCAGAAUUCAUGGACAAUGGGGAUAUAAAAGGUGGCAAUACAAAGUGGAAUAGAUAAUAAAUGUUGUGACUCGAAGAAAAUGGAGUAAAUUGAACGUGAGUUCACAGAUAACAACACCGAAGAGAAAAGAGUGACUUAUCAGAAUCUUGCAAUUUGUCAAAGAUUGUUUAGCCUGUAAGUCAACAUUUUGCAUAAAUUUGAAAAUUAAACUAGCUCUUACCUCCUAAUGCACCAUAAUGUAAAUUCAUUUUAAUUAUAUUUGAUUGAUUUAUUGACUCAUCCUCCGUACAAACAUUCAUUCAUUAUUAAUUAGUUCAAAGCAUAUUUAUUUAAAAAAUAAAACCUAUCAUAAGCCAGGUAGUUUGCUAAGUAUGGGGAGGCAUCAGCAGACAAGGCAGAAUAGAUUCUUGUCCUGAUUUCAGAUAGCCAUAAAAGUUGUGAUGAAAUGAAAUUAUGUGAUAGAGAUAAACGGAAGGGGAAGUCGUCGCUGUUAGGUUUCUUUUAUGGUCAUCUGUCCUACGAAUGUUUGUGUCCCAUGAAAAUUUGUAUGUUGAAAUCCUAACCCCCAAGUUGAUGGUAUUGUGUUGGUGCAAAAGUAAUUGCGGUUAAUUAUUUUCAACGGCAAAAACCACAAUUACUUUUGUACCAAUGUAAUAUUAGGAGGCAGGGUUUUCAAGAGGUAUUAGAUUAUGAGUGUGGAUCCCUCAUGGAUGGGAUGAGCACCUUCAUAAAACAGGUUUCAGGGAGCGUGUUUGCUCCUUCCAGCAUGUCAGGAUGCACAAGGAAAUGUGCCUUCACCAGCUUAUGUAUCUGCUAGCUCCUCUAUCUUUCACUUCCCAGCCUCUGGAACUGUGAGUAUUAAUAAAUUUCUGUUGUUAUAAGCUACGCAGACUAAGGUGAUUUGUUGUAGCAGCCUGAAUGGACUAAGACAACCUGCUUAAGCCAGGCCCUGGGAUUCCCAGUGUCUUUUUUUCAUACUAGUUAGAGUCAUCCAACUGAGGAAUCUGGAUAAAUCAGAGUGAAACACAAUCCAUUAUUCUCUAAAUGUUGCCAUGGUUAGACACAGUAGAAGAUAGAGGCAUAGGAGGCUGGAUAAUUGUAGCUUGAGAUGGCAGCUACACAGUAGCUAUAUCUGCCCAUAGACCUCACCAUAAGUUUGCCUUCCCAGUCCCACUAUAACAGUUUCAUGUGCUUGGUAUUUCAAUUUCCUUGCACGCUCUGAUUUUUCAGUCAUGAUCAGCACUUUAGAGAAAGCAAUUAGUGACUAUUUCUCUGAUCCUCUGAGCCCUCCUUCCAGUUUACUUCCUCAGCUGCUUCUACAUGUCUGUAAAAUACAGCUUUUAUAAUUAAAUUAUUUAUUACCAUAUUACCCCAUAGUGUUUCCAUUUCCAGACUGAGAGACUGUCUCUAAGAAGAUGCCAUUUAAACUGAACCUGUAGGAAGAAAUAAAAAUCCAGGUAUAAAGACAAUUAAAUGAAGACAGGGUACAUUUAAUUUUCAGAGAAAUUAAAUACUUGUGAAGAAGACUUUUUGAAGGAGGAAUGAGGGGAAUGGGCUAUGAGAGAGAUUAUUCAACAAAACCCCAAGUAUGAUAAGAAGAAAAUUUGGAGGAUAUGGUUUUCUUCUUUCUGUAAUUGAUUUGAUUGGAAAGUAUUUGGCAUUAUAUCUAAGCACUGUGAAAUAAGUAAUAAAGUUUAAAACUUUCUUGAACAUAAUAAACAGACUCAGCAAGCAUACUGGACUUUCCACUUUCUCCUUCCUGCUCUGUGCCCCCGAUGGCUGACCUGUGUGGACCAUAUCAGUGGGCUUUCUUGUUCUCUAGCUCCUAGUUGAGUUUGAUUAGUAAUAAGCAGUGACAAUAGCUCUGAGGGGAGGAGGAGAGUGAAGCCUGGUUCCUUCCUUGUAGGAUGGCUGUGUUCUGUGACUAAAAGUCACAAUUCCUAUUAGAUGCAUCUUACAACACUGACCUCCUGUCACCUUUGAGCGGUACAGGCAACUGGUUGUUACUUGCUUGGGAAUUAAAUUUUCCUAAUGUGGCUUUCCUUUCACCUUUAUGUCAAAAGAUCUAUCUAUUAAGCUUUCCUUAAAUUACCCAAUGUGAGUAGUUGCUGGGAUCCUAACUGAUAGGGUCAGAGAUACUGAAUGAAUUUUGUAACAGAAGCACAGAUGUGUACAGUUUAAAUGUUUAAAGUACAAGUAAUCUUGGCAAUUAUUACAUGUCUGAAUUAAUGCACAGAACUUCCUUAUUUUUUGAAAUCAAAUCUCAUGUUAUAUACACAAUAUGAUUUAGCUUCUGUGCUGAUAAACUUCAGUAUUCAUCAAUAUGAAAUUAUUUUUGUAAGACCAAAAUACACGUGUCAAGAAAUUCAAGAACAAAAUAAAUGUACAAUAUCUAGUCCCAGUGAACAAUUCAAUAUCCACAACAGUAGAAAUACAGAUGAUAGGUGUAAAAUGAGCCAAAAAAGAUAAAAAUAAGAAAACAAAGUCGAUCAAUAUUAAUCCAAAUAUAACAAUUUUUUCAUCCACCACUUGAAGUUGGAUGGAGAGAAUUGACCACCUAUAUUCAAACUACUGUGACAAUUAUUAAAAAACAGUUUAGAACAAGGAAAAAGAGAUAUAAUAUUACCUUGAAUAUAUUACUUCAAUAAAUUUUAUACAGUAUGUAUUCACUGUGUAAAAUAUAUAUAAGAAAAUAUAUAUAAAUUAUUAAGAUUUUAUAUUGUAUCAUGUCCAUUAAUUUCACUUAGAAAAAAUGUGGGUCUUUUGUUUUGCUUGGAUUCUAAUAUGUUCAUAAUACUAUAUGUUUUUAAGUCCUAGAAAUUUCCAAAAGAUAAAACUGAUAAGGACAAGUAUACUUUCUAAAGUGUAAAGGCGUUUAAAAAUGACAUUAAAAAAUUGAGCCAAAGAAGAGACAAAAGAGGGAGGCAUCUUUAGAUUCAUGUUUUAGGUCAAUAAGGUAAAUCAAUUAUAUAGCAGAGUGAUAAUUUAAAAUCAAGCUUUGGUAUCAUUUAUGAUGCAACUCAGGCCUUAGUCAGAAUUGAACAAUCAGUCUAGCUACCACAAUGCACAGUUUCCAAGUCUACCCAGCUUAAAGCAUACCAGAUGAUGAUGAUGAUAAUGACGAUGAUGAUGAUCAUGAUGAUUACUACUUUAAUCUACUUCUUUUAAAACCUACUUAAGAAUCACUUUGUUUAAAUGUGUUCUUUGAAUUAAUACUGGGGUCUUGCCUUCCUAUUCAUAGUUAUAUUUCCCAUUUCAAUUCACAUACUUGUUAUCUAUUUGCUCUCUGAUUUUAAACUUGCUGAGCCUUUGGAUUACUUACGAUACUUCUAUGUUAAAGCUUUAAGCUAUCUCUGUUGUUUGUACCAAACAUUUUGUUAACAUUUUUGAUAGUGUUGAUGAUGAAAAUAAAAUUUCACACGUGUGUGCUAAACCAUGACCAAGGGAAGAAAUAAAAGAGAUGCUGUUUAUGAUUCUAGAGUGUCUGUUGUUGAAAUAGGCCAUAUGUGUUGCUGUGACUCGUUUAUUAGGAUGUAUUCAUUAGAAUGAGUAUGUCUUUUUUGUCAUUCAUAGAAGUUGAAAGAAAGAGAGAAGAAACUGGUUGCAAGAAGUAGCUUCGACUUGCUACACAUGAUUCUUUUCUGAAUUGGAAAAGAUUUGGUAAAAGGUAGAGAUGCA
This 3992-nucleotide long non-coding RNA is filed under the name Homo sapiens (human). Its description in RNAcentral is "HSALNT0202433". Lineage: Eukaryota; Metazoa; Chordata; Mammalia; Primates; Hominidae. The record is from RNAcentral.